This 500-nucleotide ribosomal RNA is filed under the name uncultured bacterium. RNAcentral's name for it is "partial 16S ribosomal RNA". It matches the Rfam family "Bacterial small subunit ribosomal RNA", at positions 29 to 507 of the family's 1533-position model. The record is from RNAcentral.
AAUCAACGCUGGCGGCGUGCCUAACACAUGCAAGUCGAACGCGAAAGCCCCGCAAGGGGUCAGUAGAGUGGCAAACGGGUGAGUAACACGUGGGUGACCUGCCUUCGAGUGGGGGAUAACGUCCCGAAAGGGACGCUAAUACCGCAUGACAUCCUGCUUUUGAAAAAGCGGAGAUCAAAGCUGGGGAUCGCAAGACCUAGCGCUUGAAGAGGGGCCCGCGCCUGAUUAGCUAGUUGGUGAGGUAACGGCUCACCAAGGCGACGAUCAGUAUCCGGCCUGAGAGGGCGGACGGACACACUGGGACUGAGACACGGCCCAGACUCCUACGGGAGGCAGCAGUGGGGAAUUGUUCGCAAGGGGCGCAAGCCUGACGACGCAACGCCGCGGGGAGGACGAAGAUCUUCGGGUCGUAAACUCCUGUCGAGCGGGACGAACGCUUCGCGGAUGAAUAAGCCGCGGAAUUGACGGUACCGCUAAAGGAAGCCCCGGCUAACUCCGUG